Molecule: ribosomal RNA, 445 nt
Filed under: uncultured bacterium
Lineage: Bacteria
Description: partial 16S ribosomal RNA
Rfam family: Bacterial small subunit ribosomal RNA
Source: RNAcentral
GUAGGGAAUAUUGGACAAUGGGCGAAAGCCUGAUCCAGCCAUGCCGCGUGAUAGACGAAGGCCCUCUGGGUUGUAAAUAUCUUUUAUCUGGGAAGAAACUCCUCUAUUCUUAGAGGCCUGACGGUACCAGAGGAAUAAGCACCGGCUAACUCCGUGCCAGCAGCCGCGGUAAUACGGAGGGUGCAAGCGUUAUCCGGAUUCACUGGGUUUAAAGGGUGCGUAGGCGGGUUGAUAAGUCAGUGGUGAAAGCUCCGGGCUUAACUUGGAAACUGCCAUUGAUACUGUCAGUCUUGAAUGUCGUAGAGGUAAGCGGAAUGUUGCAUGUAGCGGUGAAAUGCUUAGAUAUGUUACAGAACACCAAUUGCGAAGGCAGCUUACUAUGCGAUAAUUGACGCUGAGGCACGAAAGCGUGGGGAGCAAACAGGAUUAGAAACCCCAGUAGUCC